UAUCCCUUUGGGAAAAAGGAGGCGUGACAGCCAUGAAUGCCAAAAUUCUCUGCAACGGCUGUGUAUUUAAUACUGAGGAUUAUUCUUCAUUAAACGUCAUCUGGUGACAAAUAUUCUUUUGCUCUCGUUGGCUAUGUUCCCUUCGGGAUUUACCUGGCCAACUGAAAUUGUUGUCCUCGGUCUUGGUUUCCAUUUGUUUUAUCUUCCAUCUGCUCACUACCAGAAAAUGGGCCUAUGGGAACAGUUAUUUUGGAAUGGUUCACAAACCAUUGCCAUAGAUCAGAUAUAGUAAAGGUUGAAACCAUUACGAUAGAAUUUGGGUGCUAUCAGCACACUAUUGACAUCAAACCGUUGCAAAUAUAACAUUACCGUUGUCAUAGAGUUUUGUUUCGUAACGGAUUUGUGAACCGUCCCAAUAGACAUGUAUAUGGCAACGAUUUUGUGAAAAAAAUUGCUAUGGGAACGGUUAUUUAUUCCCCCUUGUUUUUUCCGCUGAAAAUUCACUGGCCCGCCAAGUUAAUUAAUUAAGUGACCUGUAUUUUAUAUUUUUUAACUAAUUUAAUACAAAAACCCCUCCGCCCAGAACUACUCCCCUCGUCGAUACCAGCAAACUCCCAUCGUGGAACACCCAAAAUCCCCUCCUUCUUCAUCGUUGAAUUACUCUCUGAUCUCUUUUCUUUUUGCAUCUUUGCCGAGUUUAAGAUUAAUGGCUGAGUUUCAUCAAAUAUCUCUUCAUUGGUCCUUGGACAAUGCGCUGAAGGCAUUACUUGUAGUUCAUACAUGAAUAUGCACGUAAAGCACUUUUACAGUCUCACCUUUGAUCAAACUUUGAAUUCUUAAUGCUAAGGUAUGCAGUAUAACAACAAACCGCUAGUCACAUAGUAUAUACUCCCUCCGUUUCAAUUUAUGUGAACUCAUUUGACUGGGCAUGGAGUUUAAUAAAUGAGGGAAGACUUUUGCCAUGUAAGCUAAAAAUGUGUCAAGUUACUAUAAUACCCUUAGGGCCCACUGAUUAAUAUUCAACGGAAAAUUCUUCUGCCGAAGAGAGAGUCAAACAAAUCAUCUGCUCACUGUACAUGGCAGCCUGUCAAUUACUGUGUCCAAAUCUCCCAAUUUUCUUUCAAUUACUAAUGCCCAUCAACCAUACACUAUACCAAAACUUAAACAAAUUGGAAACCCAAUUGAAUAGGAAGUCUUCCUUAAAUUUUCUCUCUGUCGAGAAGACCCAAGAUUCAAGUAGUUGAGAAUAUUUCCCGUUGAUUUCUCAAUAACCCAGGAAUAUUUACUUGUAUCAGUCAGCCAAGCUACAACAACUAAUUGAAUCUCGUAGCUCUUUCCUGUAGAAUUAGGUUCUUCAAGAUGUGCCUUUACAAUCACUUCAGUAUCAAAUGACUCCUACAACUAUUGAUGACUUAAUAAAUGCAGUUGAGAAAUCUUUUAAUGAGAUGGAAGUUCACCGACUGAAUCAUGUGUUUCUCGCUCUACCGUCUUGCAUGGUUGAGGCGCUGAAAGGUAAAGGUAGGAACAACUACAAAAUCCCACGUAUGAAAAAGGGUAGACUAGAACGAGAAGGAAAUAUUCCUAUUCAAGUUAGUUGUGACGUUGGCGUAGUCAAUGAAGCUGUAGCUCCACUUCAAAUGUGAUACAAAUGUCAAGGCUAUUUACAACUUUAUUGUAAAGGUUCUCUGUUUUGUAAACCUAACCAUCAUGUUGUUUUUGUAUAACCUCUCUUUUUGCAUAGACUUGUGUAUUUAAAGAAGUUAUGAACAUCAAGUUUGUAGUUUCUAUGGAAUCCUCUCUUGUAAAGGCUGUGUAUUUAAAGAAGCUCUGAACGUUUGAUAUGUAGGUUUUGUAUAGUUUCUUUAUUUGUAAAGUCUCAUAUUUUUUUGAGAAGCUGCAAAUGUUAAGUUUAUGUUUGUGGAAAGUCUCG
Nicotiana tabacum (common tobacco) is the source of this 1930-nucleotide long non-coding RNA. RefSeq lists it as uncharacterized. The record is from RefSeq and is a predicted model, not a curated record. NCBI's taxonomy places the organism in Eukaryota, Viridiplantae, Streptophyta, Magnoliopsida, Solanales, Solanaceae.